CCAACGCUGGCGGCAGGCUACCCUGGCUUAUCGAACGGAUCCUUCGGGAUCAGUGGCGUACGGGUGAGUAACACGUGGGAACGUGCCCUUUGGUUCGGAACAACUCAGGGAAACUUGAGCUAAUACCGGAUGUGCCCUUCGGGGGAAAGAUUUAUCGCCAUUGGAGCGGCCCGCGUCUGAUUAGCUAGUUGGUGGGGUAAAGGCCCACCAAGGCGACGAUCAGUAGCUGGUCUGAGAGGAUGAUCAGCCACAUUGGGACUGAGACACGGCCCAAACUCCUACGGGAGGCAGCAGUGGGGAAUCUUGCGCAAUGGGCGAAAGCCUGACGCAGCCAUGCCGCGUGAAUGAUGAAGGUCUUAGGAUUGUAAAAUUCUUUCACCGGGGACGAUAAUGACGGUACCCGGAGAAGAAGCCCCGGCUAACUUCGUGCCAGCAGCCGCGGUAAUACGAAGGGGGCUAGCGUUGCUCGGAAUUACUGGGCGUAAAGGGAGCGUAAGCGGACUGUUAAGUUCAAGGUGAAAGCCCAAAGACUCAAACAUUGGAAAUUGCACUUAUGAUACAUGGACAA
Molecule: ribosomal RNA, 568 nt
Filed under: uncultured Caulobacter sp.
Lineage: Bacteria; Pseudomonadati; Pseudomonadota; Alphaproteobacteria; Caulobacterales; Caulobacteraceae
Description: bacterial SSU rRNA
Rfam family: Bacterial small subunit ribosomal RNA
Source: RNAcentral